RNAcentral lists this ribosomal RNA (751 nucleotides) under bacterium LGM55. RNAcentral's name for it is "bacterial SSU rRNA". It matches the Rfam family "Bacterial small subunit ribosomal RNA", at positions 56 to 803 of the family's 1533-position model. The record is from RNAcentral.
UGCAGUCGAGCGGUAGAGAGAAGCUUGCUUCUCUUGAGAGCGGCGGACGGGUGAGUAAUGCCUAGGAAUCUGCCUGGUAGUGGGGGAUAACGUUCGGAAACGGACGCUAAUACCGCAUACGUCCUACGGGAGAAAGCAGGGGACCUUCGGGCCUUGCGCUAUCAGAUGAGCCUAGGUCGGAUUAGCUAGUUGGUGAGGUAAUGGCUCACCAAGGCGACGAUCCGUAACUGGUCUGAGAGGAUGAUCAGUCACACUGGAACUGAGACACGGUCCAGACUCCUACGGGAGGCAGCAGUGGGGAAUAUUGGACAAUGGGCGAAAGCCUGAUCCAGCCAUGCCGCGUGUGUGAAGAAGGUCUUCGGAUUGUAAAGCACUUUAAGUUGGGAGGAAGGGUUGUAGAUUAAUACUCUGCAAUUUUGACGUUACCGACAGAAUAAGCACCGGCUAACUCUGUGCCAGCAGCCGCGGUAAUACAGAGGGUGCAAGCGUUAAUCGGAAUUACUGGGCGUAAAGCGCGCGUAGGUGGUUUGUUAAGUUGGAUGUGAAAUCCCCGGGCUCAACCUGGGAACUGCAUUCAAAACUGACUGACUAGAGUAUGGUAGAGGGUGGUGGAAUUUCCUGUGUAGCGGUGAAAUGCGUAGAUAUAGGAAGGAACACCAGUGGCGAAGGCGACCACCUGGACUAAUACUGACACUGAGGUGCGAAAGCGUGGGGAGCAAACGAAAUUAGAUACCCUGGUAGUCCACGCCGU